This 122-nucleotide ribosomal RNA is filed under the name Fulvifomes fastuosus. RNAcentral's name for it is "partial 28S ribosomal RNA". It matches the Rfam family "Eukaryotic large subunit ribosomal RNA", at positions 1 to 121 of the family's 3401-position model. Lineage: Eukaryota; Fungi; Basidiomycota; Agaricomycetes; Hymenochaetales; Hymenochaetaceae. The record is from RNAcentral.
UUGACCUCAAAUCAGGUAGGAUUACCCGCUGAACUUAAGCAUAUCAAUAAGCGGAGGAAAAGAAACUAACAAGGAUUCCCCUAGUAACUGCGAGUGAAGCGGGAAGAGCUCAAAUUUAAAAU